GUACCUACCUCGGGGCGCCCUUAUGGGCUGAGAUGCGAAAGCGAACCCGUAGAACCUGAACCGGCUAGUACCGGCGGAGGGAAGGUUUGGACGUCUCCA
This is a non-coding RNA of Planktomarina temperata RCA23, 99 nucleotides long. The record is from Rfam. NCBI's taxonomy places the organism in Bacteria, Pseudomonadati, Pseudomonadota, Alphaproteobacteria, Rhodobacterales, Paracoccaceae.